AGAGUUUGAUCCUGGCUCAGAACGAACGCUGGCGGCGUGCUUAACACAUGCAAGUCGCGUGCGCAGUUUCCGUAGCAAUACGGAGAUGGGCGCACGGCGCACGGGUGCGUAACACGUGGGCAAUCUGCCCUUUGAUGGGGAAUAACCCGCCGAAAGGCGGGGCUAAUUCCGCAUAAGAUUCUUUGGACUUCGGUCUGGAGAUUGAAAGCAGCAAUGCGUCGAAGGAGGAGCCCGCGCCCGAUUAGCUAGUUGGUGAGGUAACGGCUCACCAAGGCUAUGAUCGGUAGCUGGUCUGAGAGGAUGAUCAGCCACACUGGAACUGAGACACGGUCCAGACUCCUACGGGAGGCAGCAGUGGGGAAUCUUGCACAAUGGGCGAAAGCCUGAUGCAGCGACGCCGCGUGGGGGAUGAAGCAUUUCGGUGUGUAAACCCCUUUCGACUGGGAAGAAUACCUCGCAAGAGGGGUGACGGUACCAGUAGAAGAAGCCCCGGCUAACUACGUGCCAGCAGCCGCGGUAAGACGUAGGGGGCCAGCGUUGUUCGGAAUUACUGGGUGUAAAGGGUUCGUAGGCGGUGCGGCAAGUUGGGAGUGAAAUCUCUGGGCUUAACCCAGAGGCUGCUUCCAAAACUGCUGUGCUCGAGUGUGAGAGAGGCUCGUGGAAUUGCAGGUAGCGGUGAAAUGCGUAGAUAUCUGCAGGAACACCCGUGGCGAAAGCGGCGAGCUGGAUCACUACUGACGCUGAGGAACGAAAGCUAGGGGAGCAAACAGGAUUAGAUACCCUAGUAGUCC
This 791-nucleotide ribosomal RNA is filed under the name uncultured bacterium. RNAcentral's name for it is "bacterial SSU rRNA". It matches the Rfam family "Bacterial small subunit ribosomal RNA", at positions 8 to 796 of the family's 1533-position model. The record is from RNAcentral.